CCAAUAGCGUAUAUUAAAGUUGUUGCAGUUAAAAAGCUCGUAGUUGAAUUUCGGGGUCAGUAGGUCGGUCGUGCCACUGGUAUGAACUGGUUUUACUGAUUCCUCCCUCUUGAAGAACUGUAAUGCCAUUAAUUUGGUGUUGCAGGGAAUCAGGACUGUUACUUUGAAAAAAUUAGAGUGUUUAAAGCAGGCUUUAGCUUGAAUACAUUAGCAUGGAAUAAUGAAAUAGGACGUUUGAUCCUAUUUUGUUGGUUUCUAGGAUUGACAUAAUGAUUAAUAGGGAUAGUUGGGGGCAUUAGUAUUCAAUUGUCAGAGGUGAAAUUCUUAGAUUUAUUGAAGACUAACUACUGCGAAAGCAUUUGCCAAGGAUGUUUUCAUUAAUCAAGAACGAAAGUUAGGGGAUCGAAGACGAUCAGGUACCGUCGUAGUCUUAACCAUAAACUAUGCCGACUAGGGAUCGGAUGAUGUUAAUUUUUUAAUGACUCAUUCGGCGCCUUACG
RNAcentral lists this ribosomal RNA (500 nucleotides) under uncultured Glomeromycotina. RNAcentral describes it as "partial small subunit ribosomal RNA". It matches the Rfam family "Eukaryotic small subunit ribosomal RNA", at positions 591 to 1092 of the family's 1831-position model. Lineage: Eukaryota; Fungi; Glomeromycota. The record is from RNAcentral.